AGCUUGAGAGGUACCUCAAGCAGAGAGAACAACUGUCUGGUUGGUAAGUCAGGAUUGCAGUGAGGGUGAAAGGGUUAAUCCCCCUCCCUCCCCCAGUUGCUGUGGUCCCUAUCAUGCUAAGCCAAGGUGGCUAUUCGAGUUUUUUAAAACUUGCAAGUUAAAUGCAAUAACACAUCAAACUCACAUCUAGUUUGGCCCUGUCAGUAAUGACUUUGCAUCAGAUCUUAGAACUGUAGAGUUGGAAGGGACUCUGAGAGUCAUCUAGCCCAACCCCCUGCGAUGCAAGAAUCUCAACUAGAUAAGAUUCCUCUAUCUUGGAGCUUUAUAGCAGACAGUGCUAUAGGACUGGCUCCUUAUGAUCACCUGGUUCCUAAAAUCCUAGGCUUCGGGCCCACUGUUGGCUUGACUACCGGCAGAGUGUAAUUGUGUUGGGUUUACAUUGCUCUUCCCCUUGCUAGUUGUUAUCAUGGCCAAGACCGGUCUGUCCCAGAAUUUGAAAGAACUGCAGAUUCAGGCUCCCAGCACACACACAAUACAUGCAGGUAUAUGAGUUAAUCAUGACUGAGAUCACCCAGAGCUCAUCCCAGUUUAGGUAACUGCAGUGUUAAUUAAGCUGGGACUACUGGGAUUUAUCCUCACCCUUCCAACAGGGUACUGUGCUUAUAUAUUUAUCUGUCAAAUUUAUGUCCCACACCCUCCCCACAAAGAAGCCCAGGGUGGCAAACAUUCCUGUAAUAAAAAUGCAAUUAAAAGUAAGAUAUAAAUGUAUUUAAAACAUAUUAAAACUGCUAAAAACAGCUAAAAGCAGUGUAACACAAUAAAAAUGUUGAGAUUUGCAUAAUGGGGUGAGGCCAGCUGGUCUACCAGCAGGGGUUGGGCGUUUUGCCUGCACGAAGGCCAUGCCCUGGGAGUGCCAUGCUGGCAGGCUUGGGAAGCGGGCUUGCCCCAUGGCCUAGGGCCGCUGUUCUACAGGGAGUAGUUGGCUAGGACACCAGGCUCCAUAGGGUGUUGGGCAGAGCUAUGUGCUGCGCUUGGCGAAUUCAUGCUGGUCUUGGGAAUAAGCAGCUUUGAAGAAUGGAGACUGAGGUCCUCAUGGUUCAAAAAAACUUUCUAGAGCUGCCUGUCAUCCCCCAUCCCUUUCUGGAGAUCAGGAAGGGCCAUGUCUCCAUGACGGGCUGACAGCAGUUUAUGGCUCUGCUAGGCUCCCAUCUCACCCUGGUGCUAACCAGUAGGUUCCCAUUUGAUGGCUGUGAAAGAGCAGGCGAGCUCUUACCUAUGAUAGAUAAAUAGACCCGACCCCCCCCCCCCCCAAGUUCUAAUUCCAAGGAGCACACUCAGGAGCCAAGAAUGAUUGAUAGAUAACUGCUUGAAAUGUCCAAAUGAAUUUGUACCUGAAAGGAUUGUGCUGCCAAUUUAACAGGAGCCGGCAAUUAAAAAACAAAACGAAACAUACUAUGGGAUGACAGCAAAGGAAAACAUGAGAGGGCACGUCCAGACUGCCAGUAUUUUGCAGGAGGGAUUCAAGUACAUUCUGGGACGUUAGGUUUGCACAACUGAAGUGGGUUAAAGUGCUCUGACACCCCAGCAUAACCAAUUCAAAGAAAGAAAGAAAACAAACAAACAAACAAACAAACAGACUAAGUGACAGGGGAUAAAACAAAUUCUUAAUGGGAAGAUGUUUAAACCCCCUGCAAGCAAAUCCAGGUGAAUUCAGAAAGAAUGCUCAUUAUUGUACAACCUCCCCACAAAUCAGAAUGAAUGCUCACCGAAGACCAAAUAUAAUCUAACAUCUGCCUAAGCUUUGUGCAAGGAAAUCAGGAUGAAUGCUCAAUAAGUAGGUUGUCUGAAGGAGUCCAGAUUGCAGUGGUUUUGGAGGAAUGUCUUCUAGAUUGUCAGGAAUCGAUGAAAGGGUAUAUGCCAGCGGAAGAAAGCUAGUGUGAAAUGGUCCACUGUUAUUGAAUCCUUUAGCUAUCCUUUCCUAUCCACCCCUGUAGUAAUCUCAUGUUAGAAUUCAUGCUGCAAUCCAGGACCAGGUCACCUGCUUUCUUUUGCUGUUAACUCUUCACAGGUUAGCUUUUCUCCAUCAUUUUUGGUGGUGGAAAGCUUUGACAGACACCUAUGGCGACCACAAGUCUCCAGGCCUUGGCCCUUUCAAGUUUCCAGUCAUUUUCCAGGUUCUAAUGAAGGUGGUCUUUUCAGUUCAUGCUAAAGGCCUUAUUGCCACACCAAAGUAAAUAGCAGGCGAAACUCAACGCAAAUUUGUGCUCAAGAAGAAAAGGUGGUAUGAGUACUUUCUCAGGCUCCAACCCUGUAAAGUUUAGCUGCUGCAAAGGCAACAUGUUACCCGUCCCAGAACACCUUCUACAAUUUGUAUCGAGUCCAUCCAGACCUUAGCUAGCUUUGUUCAUCCACAGCCUUACAGGGCCUGAAUUUGAGAGUCUCUGAAAUCAAAUGUAUCCAGUUAGUUAACCAAAUGGCUUUGCUGCUAUGAAUUUAUACUUUUUUAGUUUUAAAUGACUAAGAAAAAAUUUAUAAGCAAUAAUGUGCACAUUGUAUUUUAUUGUCGACAUUAAGGAUGUGAAUUCAGCUUUCAAACAUGAGGCUUAAAACUGCUUCUCCCAAAAAUUGGUUUGUAAUGUGAAUAUCACACCUACUUUGUCAGAAUGCUCCUUUGCAACACAGGGGCCUCUUGUCCACCAGAUAUUAUCAGAGAGGAGCUCAAAGUGAAUUUAAACUUGACAUGUGAGAGGAGCAAGGGACCUGUGGUCCUCCAGAUAUUGUUGGACUAAAACUCCCACCGGAAGGUGGUUUUUAAUGGUCCACUUUGACGCUGAGGCUGCAGCAGGGACUGCCUCAAGGAAAGGCACAUUUCCCCCUUAUCCACAGCAUACUGUCAUCUUAUUGUAAGAAGCUAGACCUCUGAACCGCGCAAUCUGUACUGGUUCAUCAUUGCCAGUUCCCUCUGCCAUGGAACCAAUGUUGCCUGAAGUAUACUGCUUUUCAGAGUAACAUAAAAUAUCAGAGAACACAGACAUUUCCCCACUUGUGCACAGCCAGCAUACGCGCUCCUGCUGACACAAAUGCCAAAAACAGUGCCAAAAGGAGGCAGGGUCAGAACAGGGUGGAGGAAUAUCCACUUGGGCGUGUUCCUUGAACAACCGCCCCCCUCCGUAAGUGGGGAUUCCUCUGUAUCUCCCCACUCCCUCCCCUCCUCUGGACUCCUGCUCUCAAAUCCACUUGAUCCACAACUUUUUCCUUCCCAAACACACCAGCUCAACUUUCCCUGACAAUCUGUUUCAACGAUGGACAACUCCCACCUUGCCCUAGUCCAUUCGCAUUUAUGAGUUGGAAGAGGCUGGAGGACCUUUCUAGAGUGCUGGACUAGGACCUGGGAGGCACUGGCGGAGGAACAGGGGUGUGGGGGGAGCGCACUGCCCCUGAUGGCAUGAUCCCAGUGGAGUGCCAUCGCGGCUCCCCCCUUGCGCUGGGUGCCACGCCCCUGCAGGCGGUGCGCCAUACCCCCAGGACACGCACCACGCCCCCAGGACACAUGCCAGCCAUGCCCCUGCCUGCUCUCCGCCACCCCCACUGGAGCUUGAAGCUCCGCCACUGCUGGGAGGCCAGGGUUCAAAUCUGUGCUCAGCUAUGAAACUCACUGAUUCCCUUGGGCCAGUCAUGGUCUCUCAACCUAACCUACCUCUCAGAAUUGUUGUGAGGAUAAAAUAGGGAGGAAGAAGUGGGACAGGUCAGUUGGUAGAGCAUGAGACUCUUUAAUCGCAGGGUCGUGGGUUCAAGCCCCACGUUGGGCGAAAGAUUCCUGCCCUGCAGGGGGUAGGACUAGAUGAUACUCGUGGUCCCUUCCAGCUCUACAGUUCUGUUAUUCUAAGAGAACCCCGAAUGACUCCUUGAAGGAAAGGUGGGAUAUAAAUGCAAUGAAUGAAUGAAUGAAUGAAUACAAAUCAUAAACAAAUAGGUUUCUCUAACCUAGUAAUCAAUAAAUCUGUUUGCCCAUAUAAACAUCCACCCAAUUAUCCCAACUUCUUGUACACAAAUAUCUAUUUGUAUCUGUCCUCAUACACAUGCAGCCUGGAUUAACCCUGUUCUCAUUACUGGAAGAAGUCUUGUGCUUGUCUGCUCACACACAGAUACAAGCUGGGGACUAGUGGUGGUGGGAUGGUGGAUUUUGCCACACACAGUUCUGAGCUGCCUUUUUAUCAAGCCUGGGAUCUCAGCGGCACUUGCUAAUCCAGCCAUUACAUCACAUUCCUUCUGUGUGUGUGUGUGUGUGUGUGUGUGUGUGUGUGUGCAGGCACAUGCAGUUAACCCUACAGAGGCUAAAUUGGCCUAGGUUAAGGAUGGUGCUAAUCAUGUUCCGGAAACAGAACGGACCUUCCCACUCCUAAUAUUGCUAUCCCUGGCCCUGGGUUUUUCUUACUGCUCUCUCUUUUCUCUCUGAUUUGUUUUACCUGUGUAGUUUCUUUUUUACAUUCCAGAGGCUAAUAGUUAUUUAAAUUCAAAUGGAAUGAUGUAGGCAAAUGAGUGACUGCAUCCCACCCACUAUUUGCCCCUAAUUAUGUUGGAUGAGGGGAAAUAUUGCAUAUGCUCUACACCCAAAAACGAAUAUGAAGGAUUAAGCAGCAGUGAGGAAGCUAAAGUUCAAGCUAUUCUGCCUCUCUUUCAAAUUUAUUUCUGGGCAAACAUUAAGGGCCCAGGUAGCAUUAGUAAUUAUACAUAUUUUUGAAGAGAUUUAUUUCGGUACCACCAACAUUAAGGGGGGAAAUGCCAUGGUGAUGAACAGCAUAAAACCAACAAUAAAAAGACAUUCAUUAAAACAAGUAGAAGAUGCAUUUGUUCCCUGCUCUUACCUGCUGCCUUGCAGGACAUCUUCAGGAAAGGAAAAGGCUAAGGCGUAAACCCUACACAAAUCCCGAGUGGAGUGCCUAAGAUGGUUGGGUGGCGCUUUGUCUGCCUCCUUCCGGCAACUCCUGCAGCCAAGCUGGAGCCAACUGCGUUGCUCUGCUUUCCUUUGGAGGUGGAGAGUGGGGGGUCUUGUCGUCUGGGCAACCUAGGACCUUCAUACACACUGCCUAGGCUUGCACCCUGGGGAGGUCACUUUGGUGCAGCAAAUGCAGCAAAAACAACGCGGGAGGCAGCAGUUAUAAGUUAUAAGCUCAAGCUGAUUAGUGUAAGGUAUGCUACAGCCACAGCAGGUGCUGUGACUCUCCAAUGGUUUGAUUUCACCCCCAAAUGCGCACUCCUCCAUUAUCUCACAAGACAGAUGGAUGCCAACAAUGUGACCCCCCCUUCAGCACUCCCACUCCCCACGACAGCUUACCCUCAUAUACAACAGUCAUUAACACGAUAACACCAAUACGCAGUUCAAAAGGAAAUUUAAAAACAUAAUGUGACACCAAUUAUU
This is a non-coding RNA of Podarcis lilfordi (Lilford's wall lizard), 5419 nucleotides long. The record is from the annotation of a GenBank genome assembly. NCBI's taxonomy places the organism in Eukaryota, Metazoa, Chordata, Lepidosauria, Squamata, Lacertidae.